CUGUAAUGUAAACACUGCAUUUUCUCUGAAAAAAGUGUUUACUGCAAAAAGCCUGAAGGGAAUGAUUACACUCACUAGAACAAAUACAAUAAGCUGUAUAUGUUCUAGUAACUAUAGUGUCCCUUUAAGUGUGAGAUGCUUAGGAGAUAUAUACUUGAAAGUAAUGCAUAAAUAGGAAGAAAAAAAAAGAGCAGCAAACCAAAUAAUAAUACAAGUCUAGUAAAAACUGAAACAUCAACUGUAUGUUACUUACCUUUUGCCCACUCCCUCCCUUCAGUAUCUGAUUUUUGGUAUAAGGGUUCACUGCAAGUUGUGUUGAUACCCUAAGAUUUGUUAGCUUGUUUCUCCCCAUGUAUUCCUCACCAAUUUUAAUUCCUCUAAAGUCGGCCGCUUUCUCAACUCAUUGAAAAUGAUUAAUAUUUUCACUGAGGCUUUCUGACCCUUAAAGGGACACGACAUCAACAUAACUUUAGCAUAAAGAAGCAGUUUUGUGUAUAGAUCAUGCCCAUUGCAGUCUCAAUGCUCAAUUGUUUGCCAUUUAGAAGUUAAAUCACUUUUGUUACCGUUUAUGCAGCACUAGCUGCAACUCCCCCGGCUUGAGAGCCCUCAUGAAGAAAAUGGUUUCACUUUUAAUAAGAUGGUAACUUGCUUCAGAUGUUUUUAUCUUCUGCUCUGUAAAUUGAGAUUUAAUCACACACAGAAGGCUCCUGCAGGGUAUAUACAGCUAUUAACAGAGCAGGAGAUAGUAAAUUCUAAAUUAAACAGACUGUGUUUAAACAUUAGAUUUCUCUUUAUAGGAAGUGUUAAGAAAGGCUGUGUAAGUC
Molecule: non-coding RNA, 824 nt
Organism: Pelobates cultripes (western spadefoot toad)
Lineage: Eukaryota; Metazoa; Chordata; Amphibia; Anura; Pelobatidae
Source: the annotation of a GenBank genome assembly